This 301-nucleotide ribosomal RNA is filed under the name uncultured bacterium. RNAcentral's name for it is "partial 16S ribosomal RNA". It matches the Rfam family "Bacterial small subunit ribosomal RNA", at positions 509 to 808 of the family's 1533-position model. The record is from RNAcentral.
CAGCCCCGCGGUAAUACAGAGGGUGCGAGCGUUAAUCGGAUUUACUGUGCGUAAAGCGUGCGUAGGCGGCUAAUUGAGUCGGAUGUGAAAUCCCCGAGCUUAACUUGGGAAUUGCAUUCGAUACUGGUUAGCUAGAGUGUGGGAGAGGAUGGUAGAAUUCCAGGUGUAGCGGUGAAAUGCGUAGAGAUCUGGAGGAAUACCGAUGGCGAAGGCAGCCAUCUGGCCUAACACUGACGCUGAGGUACGAAAGCAUGGGGAGCAAACAGGAUUAGAUACCCCUGUAGUCCCUGUCUCUUAUACA